UCCAUCUGACUAGGAGGAUCCCCUUGAACAGCAGCAUGCCUACAGAACACUGCUGCAUGGAAGAAUAUCUGUGUUUGUCUGAAUUCCAUCCAGUUGACAGGAUUUUUUCCCCCUUUCUCCUCACUUUCAGCCCUGAUAAAACUCUUGAAGCCUCACAAGAAUGACAAGUUCAGUGACAAAAUACGACGGAAAAACCAAAUGACUUGUGUGUGCAUUUUCCAAAGGGCUAUGCUUUCCUUCCCCAACUUUCAUGCCACUGACGUUCAUGAAACUUACUUGAGCAUAAGGAUAGAGGAUCCCUUCCAAGUACAGUACUAUAUACUGUGUUAUUCACUGAACACCAAACUAUAGAUUACUAAUGAGCUAUCAUGAGAGCUGAAAUCAUUACAGACAUAUAAUUUAGAUGGUCAUGUCUGAGCAGAAAAGAAGAAGCUUUUUCAAGCAUUUGGAAACCAAGCAGAAGGCAAAGCAUGCUAAUUUUCAGGACUCGGAAAGUCAGAAAAGAUCCUGCUGUGAUAAUCACCCACUUUCUACAAUUUAAAAAAAAAAAUCAUUCUAAUGAUGGUUUAUCUGUUACAUAUAGUUUGGCCCUGAGUGAGUAUAAUUCAGAGUUCAGUACAAAGGAGAAGACUAAAAAAAGAUUCUAAAUAAUCAUUAGGUAUUGGACAAGAGGUUUUGCUUAUUUUCAACCCAGGAACUCCAAACCAUUUAAACCUUCCGCCCCUUCUCGUGCUUCAGUGGGAUGAUUUGCAGAACUGUAGAUCAGUCUGGGGAGAAAAAGAGCCCAAAGUAUAAACAUGACUCACAAGUUCAUAUUAUUUCAGAACUUGAAUUCUAGUUUCAGGUAACAGCACUUGCAGCUGGUGUUUGGAUAACAUAACACAUUUAAUGAUUUAUAUUCCCUCUACUCCAGGGAGUGGGCACUCCAGUGCUGCAAAGCUUUCUUUCCAGAUCUUUCACACUGUUGAGUGUGACAUUGACGAUUUUACCCCAUCUUUCUUCCAGUGAAAUUUGUUGUAACAAAAAAGAAAGUAACAUAAUCUGCUACAUUAUAUAUCAGAGCACCCAGAUGCUUUUGCACAAACAUCUAAUGUUGGAAUUCUACAUGUGCAUUUAAAUUUAGAAUACAGCCACAGACAAUUCAUGCUAUAUACUGUUGCAUGAGAGUUACCUUGAUAUAUAAGGCUUGUGCAAAGCUCUCAUCCCAAUUUAACAAAGGAAGUGUCAAUGUCAAUUCAAGAACUCUCCUCAAUGCAAAACAAAGUAAGCAAUUGCAUAUUUUUACAUAUACUGUAGUAACAUUAAUUAAGCUGGGACAGCAUCUUUAUUACUUAAGUUAGGGUGGAUACCUUUGUCCAUUUUACACUACAAACUCGGCUUCUUUUUUUCCUUGGAGAAUUGGCAUGUGAUGAAAUGAAUUUGUUAAUAGCUCAACACACCAUCCAAUCUGCAACUAAGGAUACAGUGAUGGAAAUUGUAUUAGUAUUUGUAUAAUUUGUAGUCACUAAUUCCAACUAGUUUAUGAAAUGUUGGGGAUAAAUCUAAGUUGCACAAUCAUAUUUGUCAUCAGGCUCACAACCAAGAGACAUUUUGUCAAUUAGCCACAGUAGGUUAUGCAAACCUUAUGUGGGGAUUAUGGCCAGUAAUUCCAACAUGUGCUUAAGAAUUUUUAAGGACUUGUUGAAUGGUGGUCUAUACAUGUGGAUAAUCAUUUAUUUGCACAACUGAUUUCAUCUCCAAGCCACUACAGGCAACAUCCGAUAACUUCAACUGGAGAACAGAAAAAAAUGAUUGAAAUAAACUCUAAUUUGAACAAAAUGCAUUCCAAUAUUGAAAAUGCAGUGAAUGCAAUCAAAUUAUUUUAUGCUUCUAUAUACUGGAAUAUCAACACAAAUUGUCUCAGUCACUGUCAAAUAGUCAGCCACUCUACUUGUUCACAAUUAACUCCUAAAUGCUUGCUGAAAGCACUACUGAAUUCAUGCUCCAGGUGUUCUUUUUAUUGCUUCUGCCCUCUUGUUGCAGUACAUGUUUCAAUAAAGAAGAUACUCCAGUUCAUUAAAAACAUUAACGAAAUGAAGCCUUUCAUCCAGUACACAAUGGAGUUAUUGGCUAUUAUACUCAAUAGCAGAAUUAAGUAUUCCAUUUCCCCCAUGCAAUAUCUUUCCACUUGUGUCUAGGUUGACUACAGUUGUUCCCUUUGGGAGCUAAAACCCUUCAUUUCCCUUCAAACCAGUGACCUUGUAUGAGUUACAGAAAAAGGAAAGUGAAAAACUCUACCUAUGUUAAAAAGAGUCAGACCAUUCUUUCACUCCUCAGACCAAAUAUUUCCACAAUUUUAAUGGGGCCACUUUCUGAUAAGUAUAUUUUGAGGUUUGCAUCAUUGUUACAAGAAUAAUAAUUCCAAAGCUUUGUUAAUUUUUUGCAUUUUUCUUCAGGGUGUUCUUUUUACAUGACACUUUCAGGCCCCUUUCUGUCCAUUCCAGGCUUCUAAUCCAAGGGAACAUUUUAAAAAGUAGAAAGGAGAGGAUAGCAAUCUUCAUAUUUCUCCUCCUUCUUGUUUUCCCCCAGCCUCCCCAAAAUCUUCCCUAAAGUUUAUGAAACCUGUGUAACAGCAUGAGAAUUUUAUGCAGAGAGUCCUCCUGCUAAUGGGUGGACAACACUGAACUCAAAACUGUGAUCACAAUCCAACCCAGAGAUAUGGUACUGUCAGAUAUAACUUGAGGUGCAAUCCUCUGCAUAUCUGAAUAUAUUCCAGAUAAAUUAAUGGGACUUGCUAAUAACCAUGCAUAGGUUAAAUUGCACCUUUGUGCAGAGUUGUUACCUAGCUAUAUGGGACUUGCUAAUAACCAUGCAAGUUAUAUGUUUGAAAAUUAAUGGUUGUAAUCUUGUUGCUUAGUGUAGCAAGCCGCAACUAGAGUAUGCCCAUCUGAACCAAUGGAACUCAUGGGGAGGUGAUUACCAAAUCCCCAUUGAUUCAGUGGGCCUAUUCUAGUGCAACUUACUACAUUGAGGAACAGGAUCUCAGUCAAUAUUUCAACAGCUCCAUUUGAAACAACACAAUUCAUCAGAGUGUUUUUCUUUUACCUAUUAGCCCCUUUAGACAGGAAUACUUAGAAAUCUCAUAUCAUUCUUGUCUAAGCUACAAAUGACACAAGAAAAAUCCAGCUAAGGUUAAGCACUCAUAAGCCACAUGGAUGUUAAGUAGUGGCAGACUUCACUGGAAUCAGUAUGGUUUAUUUAACUUUGUAUGGAUUUUAGCCAUUGUAUCUAGGAUCAUAACGUGUAUCAGCCCAACAGAAGUCUCAGUUUUUAACUUUCCCAUAUAUAUAUAUAUUUGUUACCUUCCACUGCUAUUCGUUUUUCUGCUAUUCUGUCCUUUAAAGCUUUGUACACUACACAUCAAACAGCCCUUUCUACAGUAGAUGGAACUUGGUCUUUUUAUACUUUUCUCAAUGCUGCCAACAUCUGUUACUGUUUAAUGUGUAACUUGUAAGGAGAGAUUCAGAUAUUAAGUGUUUUAGUUUAUGUUCCUACCGUAGAUGGAAUGUACAAUAUCAUGGUUAAUUAGAGUAGCAUAGUACAUUAUGAAUGCCUUUUUCCCAUUAAGACUUUAAUGGAAUGUGAACAUUUGCUGAUUUCCUUGGUUAAUUGUAAAUGCUGAAUUGUAGUCCUGAAUAGUUGCAUUUUUGUCUGUCUCAAUAAAUUUUAAUUUGUCUGCGA
Pogona vitticeps (central bearded dragon) is the source of this 3720-nucleotide non-coding RNA. The record is from RefSeq and is a predicted model, not a curated record. Lineage: Eukaryota; Metazoa; Chordata; Lepidosauria; Squamata; Agamidae.